Molecule: ribosomal RNA, 3382 nt
Filed under: Candidatus Magasanikiibacteriota bacterium
Lineage: Bacteria; Candidatus Magasanikiibacteriota
Description: 23S ribosomal RNA
Rfam family: Bacterial large subunit ribosomal RNA
Source: RNAcentral
UUCGUAGUGCGCAAAGGGCGCACGGUGGAUGCCUCGACAUUGUUUGAUGAAGAAGGACGUUGCAGGGUGCGAUAAGCCUCGGUGAGAUCCCAAGCAAUCUUUGACCCGGGGAUGUCCGAAUGGGGAAACCCUUCUCAAUGAGAAUUGAGAAAUCGUACACUGAAUUCAUAGGUGUGCGAAGAAGACCUGGUGAAGUGAAACAUCUCAGUAGCCAGAGGAAAAGAAAAUACUAAUGAUUCCGUUAGUAGUGGCGAGCGAAAGCGGAAGAGCCCAAACCAUUAUGGUGUUGCCGUAUAGAAGAAUGAGUCGCAAGAUUUAUUUGGAAAUCCGGCUUAAAGGUCAGGCCGUUGCCAUAGCGGUGUAGUAAGUAGUACAUGUCAGUUGCCUGUUCAACUGGAUGUGAUGAGGUAAAUAUAAUUGAAGACUCCUGGAACGGAGCACCACAGACGGUGAUAGUCCGGUAAAUGAAAUAUUUUUCUCACACAUGGUGUACGAACUUGAGUACGGCGGUACACGUGAAAUUCCGUCGGAAGCAGUCGCGACUAUGCGAUAAGGCUAAAUACAAACAAUGAUCUAUAGUGAACAAGUACCACGAGGGAACGGUGAAAAGCAGCCCGGUGAGGGCGAUGAAAUAGUCUCUGAAACCGUGUGCCUACAAUGAGCCGGAGUCCGUAAUUUUUCGCAAGAAAAGUUGGAUGACGGUAUUCCUAUUGAAGAAUGAGCCUGCGAGUGUGCUAUGUGUCGCUUGCCUAAGGGCCGCAAGGUCCGGAGGCGUAGGGAAACCAAGUCUGAAUAGGGCGUUUGGUGGCACAUACACGACCCGAAACCGGGUGGGCAACCCUUGUCCAGGAUGAAUCUCAACGAAAGUUGAGAGGAGGUCCGAACCCACGCGCUGUGCAAAACGCGGGGAUGAGAUGAGGGUAGGAGAGAAAUUCUAAUCGAACUCGGUAAUAGCUGGUUCUCCUCGAAAUAGCUUUUGGGCUAGCUGUACAUGUUCCCUCUGGGGGUAGAGCACUGGAUGAGACUAAGGUCCUUCGGGAUACUUAUUUCAAUCAAACUCCGAAUACCAGAGGUCAAAAGUGUGCAAGUCAGACCGUGGGGGCUAAGCUCCACUGGUCAAAAGGGAAACAGCCCUUGAUCGCCAACUAAGGUCCCUAAAUUAUCACUAAGUGUAAAAGGUGGUGUUAAUUCUCAAACAACCAGGAGGUUGGCUUAGAAGCAGCCAUCCUUUAAAGAAAGCGUAACAGCUCACUGGUCAAGAGUUUUCGCGCCGAAAAUGUAUCGGGGCUAAGUGAUAUACCGAAGUUGCGGAUGUCAAUGCUUCGCAUUGAAACGUUCAAGACACAACUACCAAGAUACAAUUUGUUUCUUGGAAAUUGGUAUUUGGAAAUUUCAACGUGAAGCGUUGACGUGGUAGAGGAGCGUUCCGUUCAGCAGCGAAGUGGGACCCGUGAGGGCCCGUGGAGCGAACGGAAGUGAGAAUGCAGGCACAAGUAGCACAUAUGCUGAUGAAAGUUCAGCACGCCGAAAAUCCAAGGUUUCCAGGGCCACGAGAAUCGUCCCUGGGUUAGUCGAUCCUAAGGUCAGCUCCGCGUCAUGCGGGGGUAGCCGAUGGAAGAGCAGGCCAAUAUUCCUGCACUUGGUAACAUUUGUUCAAUCGUAUGCAUCAUAAAGAUAUAAGCGUCCUAUGGCUAUGACGUUUCGCAAGAUGGAGACCAAAGCUACGGCAGAGGUCAACUUAUGUUGGAGUGGUGCCUAGAAAAGCUUUUGAACGCGUGGUGUUAUCAAACCGUACCGUAAACCGACUCAGGUGGAUAGGUCGAGUAGACCAAGGCGAACGAGAGAAACACACUUAAGGAACUCUGCAAUUUAGCGGCCGUAACUUCGGGAUAAGGCCUACCCCACGCAAGUGGGGUCGCAGCUAAAGACUUCAUGCGACUGUUUACCAAAAACACAGCUCUCUGCAAAACCGUAAGGUGAAGUAUAGAGGGUGAUGCCUGGCCAGUGUCAGAACGUUAAGGGGAGAGGUCAUGGACUUCGGUCCGGCAGCCUUGAGCUGAAGCGCUGAUGAACGCCGGCGAUAACUAUAAUCGUCCUAAGGUAGCGAAAUUCCUUGUCGGGUGAGUUCCGACCCGCACGAAUGGCAUAACGGUGUGAAGACUGUCUUAAGUAUGUCCUCGGCGAAAAUGCAAGUGUCGUGAAGAUGCGACGUACCCGCAGUUAGACGAAAAGACCCCGUGAAGCUUUACUACAACUUGAUAUUGACAUAUUGCCUCGCAUGUUUAGCGUAGGUGGGAGCCGCAAGGCGACAAUGAAACACCACUCUUUCGCUGCGAUAUGCCUAAUUUUGUGCCAUGAAUCUGGUGCAGAAAACAGUAUCUGGUGGGUAGUUUAACUGGGGCGGUUGCCUCCCAAAUGAUAACGGAGGCGUUUACAAAGGUAGGCUUAGCUCGGAUGGAAAUCGAGCUGGACGUGCAAACGCAAAAGCCUGCUUUACUGCAAGGGUUACAGCCCGCGCAGUUGCGAAAGCAGAAGUUAGUGAUCCGACUAUUCAAUAUAGGAUGGUAGGAGCUCAACGGAUAAAAGCUACUCCGGGGAUAACAGGCUGAUCGCGCCCAAGCGUCCAUAGCGACGGCGCGGUUUGGCACCUUAACAUAUCGGGGUGCACAAACAGUAAUGUUUAUCCUCAAUCUUUUCGUUAAAGUAUUAUUACAAGAUAGAAUAAGAGACCAAUCGGCUUAUAACGGUGAACCCGUCAGUGGAAGAAACGCCACCCGGCAACACCGUGGGAAGUCCUCCAAUUUUACGUUGGAGUGACCCUGUAACGACUGACCCGAAAGGGGAGGCUUUCAUCGAAAGGUGAAGGCAAUACGCCGACUCUUGCAAAGUUAAACAGAGAUUAUGCGAUCACGAUCCCGCUUCGGUGGGAAAUUCGCUACGAUCCUGUGCAAGAAGAAGAUAUAGUCUACGCCACACGAAAAUGUGGAAUAAAGUACGAUGUCGGCUCAUCGCAUCCUGGGGCUGGAGAAGGUCCCAAGGGUUUGGCUGUUCGCCAAUUAAAGCGGUACGUGAGCUGGGUUCAGAACGUCGUGAGACAGUUCGGUCUCCUAUCUACUGUGGGCGAAGAACAUUGCGAGAACCCAUCCCUAGUACGAGAGGACCGGGAUGGACGAACCUCUUGUGUACCAGCUGUCCUGCCAAGGGCACUGCUGGGUAGCGAAGUUCGGCACGGAUAAGCGCUGAAAGCAUCUAAGCGUGAAGCCGUUCCCAAGAUUAAUGUUCGUAUGAGACUCCUCGUAGACUACGAGGUUGAUAGGCACUAGGUAAAAGGCCCGCGAGGGUUUCAGCCAAGGUGUACUAAUAAGUCGAGCCACUACGGAAA